AACGAACGCUGGCGGCAUGCCUAACACAUGCAAGUCGAACGAGACCUUCGGGUCUAGUGGCGCACGGGUGCGUAACGCGUGGGAACCUGCCCUUAGGUUCGGAAUAACUCCCCGAAAGGGGUGCUAAUACCGGAUAAUGUCUUCGGACCAAAGAUUUAUCGCCUUUGGAUGGGCCCGUGUUGGAUUAGCUAGUUGGUAGGGUAAAAGCCUACCAAGGCGACGAUCCAUAGCUGGUCUGAGAGGAUGAUCAGCCACACUGGGACUGAGACACGGCCCAGACUCCUACGGGAGGCAGCAGUGGGGAAUAUUGGACAAUGGGCGAAAGUCUGACACAGCAAUGCCGCGUGAGUGAUGAAGGCCUUAGGGUUGUAAAGCUCUUUUACCCGGGAUGAUAAUGACAGUACCGGGAGAAUAAGCGCCGGCUAACUCCGUG
RNAcentral lists this ribosomal RNA (433 nucleotides) under uncultured bacterium. RNAcentral describes it as "partial 16S ribosomal RNA". It matches the Rfam family "Bacterial small subunit ribosomal RNA", at positions 29 to 507 of the family's 1533-position model. The record is from RNAcentral.